GACGAACGCUGGCGGCGUGCUUAACACAUGCAAGUCGAACGGAAAGGCCCUUCUUUUUUCUCGUGCUCCAGAGGCGAACGUAUCACUAACAUAAGAUUCACCUGCCCUUGACUUUACGCUCGCUUCCGGGAACUGGUGCUGGUAACGACUCGGCUCCCCAUCUGCUUUGUGUGGAUUGUAUUUUUUCUGCGGUUGGGGAUGGACUCGCGGCUUAUCAGCUUGUUGGUGGGGUCGUGGCUUACCAAGGCUUUGACGGGUAGCCGGCCUGAGAGGGUGACCGGCCACAUUGGGACUGAGAUACGGCCCAGACUCCUACGGGAGGCAGCAGUGGGGAAUAUUGCACAAUGGGCGGAAGCCUGAUGCAGCAACGCCGCGUGAGGGAUGACGGCCUUCGGGUUGUAAACCGCUUUCGGCUGGGACGAAGCGUGAGUGACGGUAAUGGGUAAAGAAGCACCGGCUAACUACGUG
This 468-nucleotide ribosomal RNA is filed under the name uncultured bacterium. RNAcentral describes it as "partial 16S ribosomal RNA". It matches the Rfam family "Bacterial small subunit ribosomal RNA", at positions 28 to 507 of the family's 1533-position model. The record is from RNAcentral.